GGGCCUCAAAUAAUGUGUGACUACCC
This 26-nucleotide ribosomal RNA is filed under the name Anopheles cruzii. Its description in RNAcentral is "partial 28S rRNA". Lineage: Eukaryota; Metazoa; Arthropoda; Insecta; Diptera; Culicidae. The record is from RNAcentral.